Molecule: microRNA, 23 nt
Filed under: Pristionchus pacificus
Lineage: Eukaryota; Metazoa; Nematoda; Chromadorea; Rhabditida; Neodiplogasteridae
Description: ppc-miR-8360-5p
Source: miRBase by way of RNAcentral
CCGGCGAGAGACCAUGAGACAGU